Long non-coding RNA from Daphnia magna, 447 nucleotides. RefSeq lists it as uncharacterized. NCBI's taxonomy places the organism in Eukaryota, Metazoa, Arthropoda, Branchiopoda, Diplostraca, Daphniidae. The record is from RefSeq and is a predicted model, not a curated record. The transcript has 2 exons.
UUUGCUACAUAUUUUUACUCCGAUAAAGAGAUCUAUUUUUAAGCGAUGGAACGUACUGGCCAAAAAUUCAGCAUAGUUACCAUGGGUUAAAAUGAUUUGACAGUUUAAGCACAAUGCAAAAAAAAAAAUUUUCAUUUUUCAUUGACAUUCAUUGACAUGCAUUGACCUUGACCUACAUCUCAAUUUCCUUAUCUGCAACGGAGUACCUUAUCGGGAAUAACAUAACAGUAUUAUACAAUAUACAAGUGUUCACCACUAGUUUAACAAGAUAAAAAUAAACUGUAUGACUUACCUAUGUGACCAGACGCCCAGCAUGCCCACUGUGCAAGGACAUAUGUAACAUCAUUUGGGCACAGGAAAACAAUUCGUUCUUGAGUUUUAUUAACUCCAAGCUUUCCUUGAAUCUUUCUAGCCAGCAAUAAGCUUUUUCGUAAGAUUUCUUGAUAA